RNAcentral lists this ribosomal RNA (1448 nucleotides) under groundwater metagenome. RNAcentral's name for it is "bacterial SSU rRNA". It matches the Rfam family "Archaeal small subunit ribosomal RNA". The record is from RNAcentral.
UCCCGUUGAUCCUGCGGGAGAUCGCUGCUAUUGGGAUUCGAUCAAACCAUGCAAGUCAAAGGGUCUCGUAAGAGACACUGGCGUCAGGCUCAGUAACACGUCGAUAAUCUACCUUACAGUUCUGGAUAACCUUGGGAAACUGAGGCUAAACCAUGAUAUGAGAUUGAGGCUGGAAUGCACUUUCUCUGAAACGAAAGGCUGUAAGAUGAGUCGGUGGCUGAUUAGGUAGUUGGUGAGGUAAAGGCUCACCAAGCCAAAGAUCAGUAGGGGGGAUGAGAGUCCACGCCUCGAGAAGGGCACUGAUACAAGGGCCCUAGUCCUAAGGGAUGCAGCAGGUGCGAAGUCUUUACAAUGCGCGAAAGCGUGAUAAGGGAAUCCCAAGUGCUUACCUUUUGGUAAGCUUUUGCUAAGUGUAAAUAGCUUAGCGAAUAAGUGGUGGGCAAGACCGGUGCCAGCCGCCGCGGUAACCCCGGCGCCACAAGUGGCGAUCACAUUUAUUGGGUCUAAAGCAUCCGUAGCCGACUUAAUAAGUUUUUUGUGAAAUUGUUAAACUUAACUUAACAGUGCGCAAAAAAUACUAUUUAGUUAGAGACCGGGAGGGGUGAGGGGUAUUCCUUGGGAAGCGGUAAAAUGCGAUAAUCCUUGGAAGACCACCUGUGGCGAAGGCGCCUCACUAGAACGGGUCUGACGGUGAGGGAUGAAAGCUAGGGGAGCGAACCGGAUUAGAUACCCGAGUAGUCCUAGCUGUAAACGCUGUGAACUGUGUGUUGCAUAUUCUACGUGAAUAUGCAGUGCCGUAGCGAAGGCGUUAAGUUCACCACCUGGGAAGUACGGCCGCAAGACUGAAACUUAAAGGAAUUGGCGGGGGCGCACUACAAGGAGUGGAGUGUGCGGUUCAAUUUAAUUCAACUCAGAGAACCUCACCAGGAGCGCCGGCCGAAUGAAGGUCAGAUUAAAGGUCUUACCUAACAAGCCGAGAGAUGGUGCAUGGCCAUCGUCAGUUCGUGCCGCAAGGUGUCCUGUUAAGUCAGGUAACGAACAAGACCUGUAUCUUCAGUUGCUACCAAGUUAGAAAUAACGAUUGAGCACACUGAAGAGACUGCCUUGGUAACAAGGAGGAAGGUGCAGGCAACGGUAGGUCUGUACGCCUCGAAUCUCCUGGGCCACACGCGCGCAACAAUGAUAGGAACAAUGGGCUGCAACUCCGAAAGGAGAAGCCAAUCCUCUAAAUCCUGUCUCAGUUCAGAUCGAGGGCUGCAACUCGCCCUCGUGACGCCGGAAUUCCUAGUAAUCGGACGUCAUCAUCGUCCGGUGAAUAUGUCCCUGUGCCUUGCACACACCGCCCGUCAAACCAACCGAGCAGGGUUUAGGUGAGACCUAAUCAAGUUGAUUAGCUCGAACCUGAAUUCAGUAAGGUGGGUUAAGUCGUCACAAGGUAACUGUAGGGG